This 468-nucleotide ribosomal RNA is filed under the name uncultured bacterium. RNAcentral describes it as "partial 16S ribosomal RNA". It matches the Rfam family "Bacterial small subunit ribosomal RNA", at positions 28 to 507 of the family's 1533-position model. The record is from RNAcentral.
GACGAACGCUGGCGGCGUGCUUAACACAUGCAAGUCGAACGGAAAGGCCCUGCUUUUGUGGGGUGCUCGAGUGGCGAACGGGUGAGUAACACGUGAGUAACCUGCCCUUGACUUUGGGAUAACUUCAGGAAACUGGGGCUAAUACCGGAUAGGAGCUCCUGCUGCAUGGUGGGGGUUGGAAAGUUUCGGCGGUUGGGGAUGGACUCGCGGCUUAUCAGCUUGUUGGUGGGGUAGUGGCUUACCAAGGCUUUGACGGGUAGCCGGCCUGAGAGGGUGACCGGCCACAUUGGGACUGAGAUACGGCCCAGACGCCUACGGGAGGCAGCAGUGGGGAAUAUGGCACAAUGGGCGGAAGCCUGAUGCAGCAACGCCGCGUGCGUGAUGACGGCUUUCUGGUUGUAAACCGCUUUCGCCUGUUACGAAGCGUGAGUGACGGUAAUGGGUAAAGAAGCACCGGCUAACUACGUG